UACGUAGGGGGCAAGCGUUGUCCGGAAUUAUUGGGCGUAAAGCGCGCGCAGGCGGUUCCUUAAGUCUGAUGUGAAGGCCCACGGCUCAACCGUGGAGGGUCGUUGGAAACUGGGGAACUUGAGGACAGAAGAGGAGAGUGGAAUUCCACGUGUAGCGGUGAAAUGCGUAGAUAUGUGGAGGAACACCAGUGGCGAAGGCGACUCUCUGGUCUGUCUCUGACGCUGAGGUGCGAAAGCGUGGGUAGCAAACAGG
RNAcentral lists this ribosomal RNA (253 nucleotides) under uncultured bacterium. Its description in RNAcentral is "partial 16S ribosomal RNA". It matches the Rfam family "Bacterial small subunit ribosomal RNA", at positions 524 to 776 of the family's 1533-position model. The record is from RNAcentral.